This 21-nucleotide microRNA is filed under the name Branchiostoma floridae (Florida lancelet). RNAcentral describes it as "bfl-miR-4875d-3p". Lineage: Eukaryota; Metazoa; Chordata; Leptocardii; Amphioxiformes; Branchiostomatidae. The record is from miRBase by way of RNAcentral.
UACAAAGUAGAAAGCCCGAGA